GCCCUGUGCGUGGUACUACCCAGUUGUGGCUCUAUAAUUUUUUAUGAACUUUUUCUUCCCCUGAGUUCAUAUGAAAAGUCAUGAUGUUCUUUUGAGACAACUGUUUUUGUGGUGGGCCGUUAGAAUGACCACCUCUAUUAGUCGAUUUCUAGAUCGAGUCUGACAAUUAGAAGGCUCACCUUUGUUAAUAGUCAUUUUCCGAGGAAGGAAUCUUAAGCAGCCCACCUCUGUGUUAGCAGACAGGUGUCUUAAGAUGCCCAUCUAUAUUAGUAGUGGAUUAACAAAGGCAAUCACCUUUGGAUGCCCAUCUCUGAAAAUAAUUAACAGAGGCGAGCGUUUGGCUAAAGCUGGCUGCCUCUAAAAAUGAUUGCCAAGAGGAUGUCUCCUAAAAUACUUUGUGUAGUAGCGAUUGUAAGAAUUAGGUUGAUAUACUCAUGCCAUGGAGAGAAAUAUUAAUAUUGUGUUAUCCUUUUCACACACAUGUUUACUGUACAUCCAGAAGCAGGUUUGCAUCAAUUACAAUGAAGCAGUGCUAGUGUGGUCAUUGGCCUCCCCCAGUAUCUAUGCCAUGCAUGUCUUCUGGAACCAAGUAGAGCAGGCAACAGAGUUUGAUAUGUGCUCACUAUUUGUGUUUAGGGAGAGGGAGAGAAUGUUGUUGUUACUUGCUACUUCUUGUUUCGAAAUUCCAUGUAGCUCUCGUGAAUUUCCCCAUCCCAAAGAAUUUUACUUUUGGCCUGGAAGGUAUCUGGAUUAUAUGGGAUA
RNAcentral lists this long non-coding RNA (762 nucleotides) under Sorghum bicolor (sorghum). RNAcentral describes it as "long non-coding RNA (SBIC_LNC014897)". Lineage: Eukaryota; Viridiplantae; Streptophyta; Magnoliopsida; Poales; Poaceae. The record is from RNAcentral.